AUUGAACGCUGGCGGCAUGCCUUACACAUGCAAGUCGAACGGCAGCACGGGAGCAAUCCUGGUGGCGAGUGGCGAACGGGUGAGUAAUAUAUCGGAACGUGCCCAGUCGUGGGGGAUAACGUAGCGAAAGCUACGCUAAUACCGCAUACGAUCUAUGGAUGAAAGCGGGGGAUCGCAAGACCUCGCGCGAUUGGAGCGGCCGAUAUCAGAUUAGGUAGUUGGGUGAGGUAAAGGCUCACCAAGCCGACGAUCUGUAGCUGGUCUGAGAGGACGACCAGCCACACUGGGACUGAGACACGGCCCAGACUCCUACGGGAGGCAGCAGUGGGGAAUUUUGGACAAUGGGCGCAAGCCUGAUCCAGCAAUGCCGCGUGCAGGAUGAAGGCCUUCGGGUUGUAAACUGCUUUUGUACGGAACGAAACGGUGAGCUCUAAUACAGUUUGCUAAUGACGGUACCGUAAGAAUAAGCACCGGCUAACUACGUG
This 485-nucleotide ribosomal RNA is filed under the name uncultured bacterium. RNAcentral's name for it is "bacterial SSU rRNA". It matches the Rfam family "Bacterial small subunit ribosomal RNA", at positions 30 to 507 of the family's 1533-position model. The record is from RNAcentral.